UGUUGUAUGGAAACCAAUUUGACAAUAAAUUUCAUAUAUUAAAAAAAGAAAAAUAUUUUUAAUAAAAAUUGAAAAUAAAAAUGAUUUUUUUCUCUUUCUGUGCUUAAGAAAAAAAAAAGAAAUGAAAUGGAAAAAAAAGAGAGAAAAUUGAAUAGAUGGACCAGCGAACAGACUGAAAUACGAUUGAAAUUACAUUGUUUUCCCCGAGAAGUCAAACUGUGAAGCACUUUAUAGUCCACAAACUAAGCAGGCAGAGAGAGUUGUGUUCAUGAAGAGCGAGGUUGACCCAGCUGGGCGCGGCUUAGUGUGAUGAUUCCGUUCUCCACUAGAUGGCGCUGCUUAUCUUACUGGGGUGGUUUUGUUGUGGCGCUUGUAGGUGUCUAUGCGCAUGCGCCCGAGGGAUGAAAAUGGCGACACCCAGCUACCCAGUCUCUAGUAUCUCUGUCCUCCCCGAUCGGUGAUCAUACACCUGUCUUUUGUCUCCGGCUUCCAGUCACUCCCCACUUUUACACUCUCCGCGACCAAGCCAUCAGGUUGCCAGGCAGCACCUCCCUCCUGAGUUUUAUCUCAGAUGCGGCUAUGUUUCCCGACCCCUUACUUCUGAGGGACCACGGCUUUGAAACACUCAGACCUUCUGGGGGAGGGUCUCACCGAGCAAAGGCCAGGUGCAGGCUGCACUCAGGAACAUUUACGGGACCAUGCUGCUGCCGACGCCCAGAGACUAAGGCUGGGUGCCAGCCCGCCCCAGAAAAAGUUCAUGUGAUUGUGUAGCAGCAGCAUUUCAGGGAUUAUGGAAAAUCACAACACACAUCUGGCACCAGUCUUCACCCUUAACGACCUUCUUCCAGCACCAGCGAAUGCGGCCAUUCUCUGGGGUCUGCUGGGACCGGGUGGCCACACAGCUUCUACCAAAUGUCCUUCCAGCAGGGGAACCUUGUCUCCCAUGUGGCCCAAAGACCUCCGGACUUCACUCUGCUCCUGGGGAUUCACCCUUCUCACCAGAGCACUGCCAGUUUUUGUUUAGGAUUUGCCUACCCACAUGAGAACAUUAGCUUGAUGAGGGCAGGGACCGUGCCUUGUUCAUUACUGAACACCCAGUUCCUGCAACAGUGCCUAGCACAUAGUGGCUGGCCAAGGGGUACAGGAAAAAAUGAAUGAAAGAGCAAAUGGCCAUAGCGUGUGUGCAGAGCCAUAAGAAGACUGGCCUAUUUGGAAAGAAGGAUGUCUCCUUGAGGACUGGGGGGCUCUCCAACAGAUGAGCAGAGGAGCACCUACAAGGGCCUGCAGGAGAUUCAAACCAUGUGGCGAGUGAACCUAGCUGAACAAGGUAUGGAAGCCACUGACAACUGCAAAGUAGACCCUGUAGAGAUUGCGAUAGGGGACUUGAAUUUGAAAUUAAACUAAAGCACAGACAAAUAAAAUUGUUCCCCACUGUGCUUGGUCAGCCAACAGUUAUACUUAAAAAAGAAAAAGGAGGGUCGCCUGGGUGGUUCAGUUGGUUAAGCAUCCGACUCUUGAUUUCAGCUCUGGCCAUGAUCUCACGUUUCAUGGGAUUGAGCACCAUGUUGGAUUCUGUGCUGACAGCACAGAGCAUGCUUGGAAUUCUCUCUCCUGUCUCUCUGCCCCUCUUCCCACUCACACAUGCAUUCGCUCUCUCUCUCUCUCUC
Neofelis nebulosa (Clouded leopard) is the source of this 1667-nucleotide long non-coding RNA. RefSeq lists it as uncharacterized. The transcript has 2 exons. The record is from RefSeq and is a predicted model, not a curated record. Lineage: Eukaryota; Metazoa; Chordata; Mammalia; Carnivora; Felidae.